Molecule: long non-coding RNA, 226 nt
Filed under: Elaeis guineensis (African oil palm)
Lineage: Eukaryota; Viridiplantae; Streptophyta; Magnoliopsida; Arecales; Arecaceae
Description: long non-coding RNA (EGUI_LNC072456)
Source: RNAcentral
CCCUAGUGCAUCCAUGAGUAGGUUCAUAACCAAUUAUUUUUCCAAACAACUUCUAGCAAUAAGUUUUGCCCCAAGCAUCCCUUCAGCAGGCAUGUGGCACCUCCACUGAAAAUCCUGAUUAGAUCCAACCAUUAACAUGGCACACCAAGUGUAUCCAACAAAUGAAUAUCUAGAUCCGAGUGUGGCUCGACCAACCUGAGCAAUGAUCUGAAGGUACAUCAUGAUG